RNAcentral lists this ribosomal RNA (371 nucleotides) under uncultured organism. RNAcentral describes it as "partial 16S ribosomal RNA". It matches the Rfam family "Bacterial small subunit ribosomal RNA", at positions 527 to 896 of the family's 1533-position model. The record is from RNAcentral.
GUAGGUGGCAAGCGUUGUCCGGAAUUAUUGGGCGUAAAGCGCGCGCAGGCGGUUCUUUAAGUCUGAUGUGAAAGCCCACGGCUCAACCGUGGAGGGUCAUUGGAAACUGGAGAACUUGAGUACAGAGGAGGAAAGCGGAAUUCCACGUGUAGCGGUGAAAUGCGUAGAGAUGUGGAGGAACACCAGUGGCGAAGGCGGCUUUCUGGUCUGUAACUGACGCUGAGGCGCGAAAGCGUGGGGGAGCAAACAGGAUUAGAUACCCUGGUAGUCCACGCCGUAAACGAUGAGUGCUAAGUGUUAGGGGGUUUCCGCCCCUUAGUGCUGCAGCUAACGCAUUAAGCACUCCGCCUGGGAGUACGGCCGCAAGGCUG